This 107-nucleotide ribosomal RNA is filed under the name Candidatus Vogelbacteria bacterium RIFOXYD1_FULL_46_19. Lineage: Bacteria; Candidatus Vogeliibacteriota. The record is from RNAcentral.
UUUGGCGGUUUGACGCAGUGGUCACACCUCUUACCAUUCCGAACAGAGAAGUUAAGCACUGUAGUGGCGAUGGUACUCCUUUGGGGGAGAGUAGCUAGCCGCCAGAA